ACUCCUACGGGAGGCAGCAGCUAAGAAUAUUCCGCAAUGGACGAAAGUCUGACGGAGCGACGCCGCGUGGAUGAAGAAGGCCGAAAGGUUGUAAAGUUCUUCUGCUAGGGGAGAAUAAGUGAGGGAGGGAAUGCCCUCACGAUGACAAGGACUAGCGAAUAAGCCCCGGCCAACUACGUGCCAGCAGCCGCGGUAACACGUAGGGGGCGAGCGUUGUUCGGAAUUACUGGGCGUAAAGGGCAUGUAGGCGGCUUGGUAAGCCUGGCGUGAAAGACUGCAGCUUAACUGUAGGGAUGCGUUGGGAACUGCUUAGCUUGAGUUACGGAGAGGGAGCUGGAAUUCCUGGUGUAGGGGUGAAAUCUGUAGAUAUCAGGAAGAACACCGAUGGCGAAGGCAAGCUUCUGGUCGAUAACUGACGCUGAGGUGCGAAAGUGUGGGGAUCAAACAGGAUUAGAUACCCUGGUAGUC
This 468-nucleotide ribosomal RNA is filed under the name uncultured bacterium. RNAcentral's name for it is "bacterial SSU rRNA". It matches the Rfam family "Bacterial small subunit ribosomal RNA", at positions 335 to 795 of the family's 1533-position model. The record is from RNAcentral.